This is a non-coding RNA of Oryza meridionalis, 206 nucleotides long. The record is from Rfam. Lineage: Eukaryota; Viridiplantae; Streptophyta; Magnoliopsida; Poales; Poaceae.
AAAGACUCAAUUCCUGGGUUUUAGUGUUCAACGUUUGACCGACCAUCUUAUAUGAAAUUUUAUUAUGAGUAGUAUUUUUAUUAUUGUUAGAUGAUAAAACAUGAAUAAUACUUUAUGCAUAACUUAUCUUUUUAAAUUUUUUCAUAACUUUUUCAAAUAAGACAAACGGUAAAUGUUAGAUACGGAAAUUCAGGAAUUGAGUUUUU